CAUAUUUACACUCUUAUGAGGCCUAUUUUCACCGGGCUGAAAUUUGAAAAAAAAAUUUUUUUGAUUGUUUUUAAGUAAUUGUUCCGCCGGCGAAAUCCCACAAUUGGUAGCAGGUCAAUGUCGCAGCCGCGAGUGGAUAUUGAAUACUGCACGGUGUGCAACUCGAAGCCUCAGUGUCUGGAGUUAGCCAAGACGAUCCGUGAACAGAUACCGGAAGCGGACGUGGUGUGCCACAGUGGGAGACGCGGUUCUUUCGAGGUCCAGAUCAACGAUACUCUCGUACACUCGAAGCUUGCCUCGCUUGCUUUCCCCGAGUAUGCUGAGGUACUGGAGCGGGUACGAGAUGCCCAGCGGGGGCUACCGAUUCGGCCUGUCGCGCAGCAACCGAUCACUGACUGCGUGAUUCAAUAACGAGAUGAGCGAGUCAGCCCCGUGUGCUCUGAAUCGAUGCCCGUAAAAUGUAUAGAGCUGUACAGCCGUAGCGAUUAGCAUUCACUGCCGUGGAGUGUUGCUCACCAAUAAAAGUAGCAGCGCGUGAAAGGAGUGAGAGCGACGAUUGAUCGUUGCUUUACUAGACCAUCGCUUCCAUCAGCCUUCCACAGGAGUGCCCGAACGGGCUGCCUCACAGAAAGUGCAGCAAAGUUUGCAGCGUCAUGUA
This is an RNA transcript of Anopheles darlingi, 658 nucleotides long. It is a transcript of the gene named migration and invasion enhancer 1, with no coding region annotated. The record is from RefSeq and is a predicted model, not a curated record. The transcript has 3 exons. NCBI's taxonomy places the organism in Eukaryota, Metazoa, Arthropoda, Insecta, Diptera, Culicidae.